GACAGAGGAUGCAAGCGUUAUCCGGAAUGAUUGGGCGUAAAGCGUCUGUAGGUGGCUUUUUAAGUCCGCCGUCAAAUCCCAGGGCUCAACCCUGGACAGGCGGUGGAACUACCAAGCUGGAGUACGGGUAGGGGCAGAGGGAAUUUCCGGUGGAGCGGUGAAAUGCGUGAGAGAUCGGAAAGAACACCAACGGGCGAAAG
RNAcentral lists this ribosomal RNA (200 nucleotides) under uncultured bacterium. RNAcentral's name for it is "partial 16S ribosomal RNA". It matches the Rfam family "Bacterial small subunit ribosomal RNA", at positions 524 to 721 of the family's 1533-position model. The record is from RNAcentral.